Molecule: non-coding RNA, 74 nt
Organism: Glycine soja
Lineage: Eukaryota; Viridiplantae; Streptophyta; Magnoliopsida; Fabales; Fabaceae
Source: Rfam
GGUCUAUUAGCUUAAUUGAUUAGAGCGUUGUGCUAAUAACGCAAAAGUCAUAUGUUUAAUUCUUGCUUGGACCA